UAUUCAAGAUGUUGCUGUCAACAAGAUCGAAACUUAAAGAGUUCAAGGGCUGGAAUUUUAUUGAUUGUUUAUAGCAGCGACGACGGUGGAGCUGUGCUUUGGGAGUCGGGAAAUGGAAAUGGUGUGCUGCUAGACUUUGCAAGAAGACGGAAGAAAGCUAUGUAUCUGACAGCGAAGUAGAAAUGGAUGUUAUUGGCUGAGAGUAAUCUGCUCCGGAAAUUGGGUCCUCAGGUCGGCUGUACUUGGCCUUAAUUGUGUGUCAUGGAAAUAAAUCAGCUCCAUGGAACUGGUGUUGGAAGGGUACUCAAUUGAACUGGUACAGGUGCGUGUGUUAUUUGAAUCUGUUCUGGAAAUUCAUAAUAGCUACUGCAGCCGGUGCAAGGAGAGACAUAAGGUCAGGGAAUGGGAAGUUAUUGCCGUGGCCAAGUUCGAGAUGGUUUUAAGUGGGACGGACAGAAGAUUGGUGUUGGCUGCCAUAUUAGCUGAUGGUUUUCGAAUUCAGGCGACAACAGCAGCGACAAUACACAACAGAUUUUGGGGUAUUCUCGCAGGAUUGAGAUUGGGGGUACGAUCUGUGGUGUUUUCGGAAAUGAAGCAGCAACAAGAUGGUUGUUGCUGUGGCCGACCCUGGAUGAGUUGCUACUUGCUACUACCGGUCGAGAAGGUUCAGAAUGGAAAGUGGUGCUGCACGGCAACAGAACAAUGGAGAUGGAAUCGAUCUUCUACUUAAACUGAAGGCAAUAGUGAUGUUUUCUGUACCUCGAAUGGGUUUGUGCCGCUGGUGGUUUAUCAUACUGUCCGCAAUUGGUUCUGAUGGUUGUUGUUCUUUAUAAAAUGGUUCAAGUGAAUGUUCUUGAUUAAGAAUUUGGCAGCAGCAAGGUUCUCAUCUUAAGCUAAACUAGGUCUGAAGGGUAUUUCUCAACUGAGAAAUGAAUUACAACAACCACAAUUGAUUUCGGGAAUUGGUCUGAAUCGUUGGUUCGGUGAGAAUUUCUGGUGCUGGAUGGUGGGAAGAUAAGCAGUGACGAGGUGUGUUUCUGGCCGAUUAGUGGAGUUGUAGCCAACGGUAGCCAGGUGGCCAGAGAUGGGCAGUCACUGGAUUUUGAAGGUUUAUUUGAAGCUGCAAAGACAGGGAAAUCUCCCCUCCUUUAAAACACUAAGUCAUAUGAGCAUAACAUGAAUAAAUUAUGGAGAUUGAAUCAAAGAUAAAAUAUAAAGUGAGGGUUUAACUCUUUAGUGAUUUGGAGAGGAAAACCAACAAUGUAGACGCUAAGAUAAAACUCCAGCUCGAUUCUGUUUGAAGAAUGUUUGGCGACCAACACAAAUUAAGAUGCAAAAUGGCAGGAAGUCAGGAACAAAUGGAGUACGUGAUGGCUUCCGAUGUAACAUCAUUUAUGGAAUCCUAACCGAAUUGGGUUAGUGUCUCUAUAUCUAAUGUUUGUUGCUUUGGAAGCAUCUAUGCUUAGAUGUACCAAUACUAACCCAAUAUUCGUUGGAAAAAGAAAGACCACACGACCAAUUAUAUGUAUGUUAGGGGCUGGGUAAGUUGACAACACGACCAAUUAGUGUGCUUAAUUUAUUUUUUGAAUUAUGUAUUUGAUGUUAGUUUAGGGAACCUCUUAGCAUGAUUGAUAUAUGGAAUGGCAUGAGAUUUUUAUAGAAAGAUUAAACGACAUCUUUGUCUUGAUCUAGCGUUUUAGAAUUGAAUGUGACAUGCAUAACAAACAGUUCUUCGUGAAUCAAUCUCUUUUACUGACUGUUUUAGAUUGUAGGCCACAAGAGUUUGAUUGAAAGUCUGGGUUCUCCGGUAAAACGAACAACUUUUUUAGUAUUUUGCAUUUCAGACAAGUUUAUCUACUCAUAAACCUACAGUUUUCGGAAUUUUGAACUUCCCAAAGUGAAUAGUGGGGUAAAUUUUUACUACUACUAUUAGUGUUCCAAAUUCGAAACCGAAGUUGGAGGUCGCGCACCCAGGUAAUGAAGUUGUAACUUUAAGUACCUUCCAUAUUCUAUCUACAUAUUUAUCUCCAUAUAUAUAGAAGGAAUUUUUGUGUGCGUAUGUUGUACCUGUUGGCUUUGAAUUUCAAGAUCAAAUAGUAUCCAACCAUCAACUUCGUUAUAUCUGUUUAUUAUGCUUCUUGAACUUAUUAUGAAGCUCUCAAAGCAAGAACAAUUAUGUCUUUUUUCCCCCUAAUAGUUUGUAUAUGCCAACCAUCAGCUUGGUUUUCUGUACUACCAACCCAUCUCUUGCCCCCGAAUCCCUGAUUUCAGCUCAUUUUGUACACUGAUGAUUUUCUUUUUGUACACAGGUGAUACUGUCAUUCGAUGUAAGGAUACAUGAAUGGCAGAAAGGAGAAGAAGAGGAGUGUUAGCUAUGGUCCCACAAUUCUGAAACUAAACAACAAAGUAAAUUGUUAUCAACAAAAGGAAAUAAGACACCGGUCAAAGGACGAAAGGCGAUGAUGUAACUAAGUUUUUGUUUUAUGGCAUUCAACAAUUUCAUAAGUGCCAACGACAAUACCAUGGAUGCUCAUAAUACCAAAUUUUUUGUAAAAAUGCAUCAAGGCGGGGCGAGGCAAAGCCAGCCACACCAAAUCAAAAAUUCUAUACAUGCAUCGGGACGGGUCGAGGCGAAGCCGAGUCAUACCAAAUCAAAAAUCCCAAGCAUGCAUUGGGACGAGUCAAAUCAAAAAUACUAAGCAUGCAUCGGGAUCAAAGAUGCAUCCCUACGGGGUGAGCCUACCAAAUCAAAAAUGCAUGACGGGACGAGGCGAAGUUAAAAAAAAAAAUGAUGGUGCAUGAAUUUCGGGUCCGCCCGAUGCGUAGCACGGGCACAAAAUCUAGUUGAGAUGGUCAGAGAAGUUGCAAAGUCGCGGCUGAUGGUUAGAAGUUGGACUUCGGUAGUGGGCCUGAAUGUGGUGGGUAUUGGUCCAGGCCUUGGAAAUUCUGCUCGGGGAAAUUAGGGGGAGACCCAAAAAAAAAUAUUCUCAUUGUCAGGCCCACAAUUAAUUUUGGGUACCGUGACACCCAUAAUUAUUUCCGUGACACCCAUAAUUAUAU
Molecule: long non-coding RNA, 3060 nt
Organism: Papaver somniferum (opium poppy)
Lineage: Eukaryota; Viridiplantae; Streptophyta; Magnoliopsida; Ranunculales; Papaveraceae
Exons: 4
Source: RefSeq, a predicted model, not a curated record